UACGGGGGGGGCAAGCGUUGUUCGGAAUUACUGGGCGUAAAGGGCUCGUAGGUGGCCAACUAAGUCAGACGUGAAAUCCCUCGGCUUAACCGGGGAACUGCGUCUGAUACUGGAUGGCUUGAGUAUGGGAGAGGGAUGUAGAAUUCCAGGUGUAGCGGUGAAAUGCGUAGAUAUCUGGAGGAAUACCGGUGGCGAAGGCGGCAUCCUGGACCAUUACUGACGCUGAGGCGCGAAAGCUAGGGGAGCAAACGGG
This 253-nucleotide ribosomal RNA is filed under the name uncultured bacterium. RNAcentral describes it as "partial 16S ribosomal RNA". It matches the Rfam family "Bacterial small subunit ribosomal RNA", at positions 524 to 776 of the family's 1533-position model. The record is from RNAcentral.